AAAAUUCACAUAAGGUUGCUCAGUGAUAAAGGAAGUAAGGAUGCAGAGACAACUAGGAGGUUUGCCUAGAAGUAGCCACUCUUGAAAGAGUGCGUAAUAGCUCAUUGAUCGAGCACUGUUGUGUUGAAGAUAAACAGGGCUAAUCGAUCUGCUGAA
RNAcentral lists this non-coding RNA (156 nucleotides) under Gossypium hirsutum (cotton). RNAcentral describes it as "Bacterial large subunit ribosomal RNA". It matches the Rfam family "Bacterial large subunit ribosomal RNA", at positions 1041 to 1198 of the family's 2925-position model. The record is from Rfam by way of RNAcentral. Lineage: Eukaryota; Viridiplantae; Streptophyta; Magnoliopsida; Malvales; Malvaceae.